AUAGUAUUGGGAACCAGUCACCAGAGGUAUUAAAUAGUAUUGGGAACCAGUCACCAGAGGUAUUAAAUAGUAUUGGGAACCAGUCACCAGAGGUAUUAAAUAGUAUUGGGAACCAGUCACCAGAGGUAUUAAAUAGUAUUGGGAACCAGUCACCAGAGGUAUUAAAUAGUAUUGGGAACCAGUCACCAGAGGUAUUAAAUAGUAUUGGGAACCAGUCACCAGAGGUAUUAAAUAGUAUUGGGAACCAGUAACCAGAGGUAUUAAAUAGUAUUGGGAACCAGUAACCAAAGCCAUUAAAUAGUAUUGGGAACCAGUCACCAGAGGUAUUAAAUAGUAUUGGUAACCAGUCACC
Long non-coding RNA from Oncorhynchus keta (chum salmon), 352 nucleotides. RefSeq lists it as uncharacterized. The transcript has 3 exons. The record is from RefSeq and is a predicted model, not a curated record. Lineage: Eukaryota; Metazoa; Chordata; Actinopteri; Salmoniformes; Salmonidae.